Molecule: non-coding RNA, 3417 nt
Organism: Struthio camelus australis
Lineage: Eukaryota; Metazoa; Chordata; Aves; Struthioniformes; Struthionidae
Source: RefSeq, a predicted model, not a curated record
GGCUGCGGCCCCCGAGGGAAGGGGCAGGAGGCCGCUGCGGGCAGUCCGCGCCGUCGGUGCAGCUGCGGUGCUGGUGGCUGGGUCUGGACUUCGCCCCCGCAGCUCUCUCUCCGUGGCUCCUUGGCUUGCCUCAGGGCUCCUCGCUGGCACUCUUGAAGGUUCACCUGGAGUUUCGGUGAAGUCCUCUAUCCUCUUAGGCUCGAACCAGUUAGUAGCAUUUGGUGUGUGGAAGAUUGGGUGGAAAACAAUGUCUUUACAGCUCCUGAGGCUAAUGUUCUCUGCUUGGGAAGAACAAGAAAUAUCAGUGGUCAGAGUAGUGCGGUUGGCAAGGUAGACAACUGCUUCGUUUUAAGAGUUUCCAAUGACUUAAACGUACAAAAAUAUUGAAGGUUAAUUUGUGUUCUCCCCACUUUGUGACUGGCCUGCUGGCAGCCCUGUGCAACGUGAGUGCUUGUUGUCAUGGGUCUGUACUAAAUCACCAGCUAGUUUUGUUGGAAGAAGCAGCAACUCUUUUUCUUGCUACCAGCGAGUACAAAACAAGUCUGGUAACAUAUAUCUGGAGAAUUCCUUAGCUUAUUUCCGAAGUGUUUGGCUCUUUCAUUGUCUACUGAAACGUAUUUGUACAAACGAUAAAAAGAGCUCCAAAGCGGCUAAUCAAAGCUUAUUUUUCCAAGGUGAUCGCUUGCAGUGUUACUCUGGGCUCAAACAGAAUCUCCUGUACCUUUAACCCCUUUAUUUUCAUCUUUCUAAUGCAAAAAAGAAAAGAAGCUCUCAGGAUAAGACAUGUCGUGGAUCAGAGAAGGUGAGCUGACCAUCAUAGAGAGAUUUUGUGCCAACGUUAUUAAGGCAGGUCCCAUGCCCAAGCAUGUUGCCUUCAUCAUGGAUGGCAAUCGCCGUUAUGCCCAGAAGUGUCAUGUGGAGAGACAGCAGGGGCAUUCGCAAGGCUUUGAUAAACUGGCACAGACACUGCGGUGGUGUUUAAAUCUGGGUAUCCAGGAAGUCACUGUUUAUGCAUUUAGUAUUGAGAACUUUAAACGCUCCAAGGAGGAGGUGGAUGGACUAAUGGAUCUGGCAAGACAGAAAUUUAGCCGCCUACUGAAAGAACAGGAGAACUUGAAGAAGCAUGGUGUGUGUAUCCGUGUCCUUGGGGACCUGCCGCUCCUGCCACUGGAUAUUCAGGAGCUGAUUGCCCAAGCUGUGCUAGCAACCAGGAACUACAACAAAUGCUUUCUAAAUGUCUGCUUUGCAUAUACAUCGAGACAUGAAAUCAGCAACGCUGUGAGGGAGAUGGCCUGGGGGGUGGAACAAGGACUGCUUGAACCCAGCGAUGUGUCAGAAUCAUUGCUUGAUAAGUGUCUGUACACGAGCAACUCUCCUGACCCAGACCUCCUGAUACGAACCUCUGGAGAGGUCCGGUUGAGUGACUUCUUACUCUGGCAGACGUCCCAUUCAUGCCUGGUGUUUCAGUCAGUGUUGUGGCCAGAAUAUUCCUUUUGGAACCUGUGUGAGGCUAUCCUUCGGUUCCAGGUGAACUACGGUGCUUUACAGCAGCCUAUGCCAGAUGUGUGGCUUCUCCUGUGCCCCUGUGGCUUGUUACAGCGUCUUAGGAUGUGGACAGACUCCUCUUCUUUCUGGAGAAACUAAAGGUAUCUGAAGUUGCCAAUAUCUCCGUGCUCAUUGCCAUUCCACCAGUUGUAAGUAUCUGUCCCCACUCCUCAGCCGGCAGGACAGAGCAAGUAAGCACUCCUGAUUUGCUACAGGGCAAAAUCAGCCAGUUUAACUCGAUCUAAUUCACUGGUGGUUUAAGCAAGUGCUGAAUUUACUGUGGAGUGGGCAGGGAGAGUCGCACACUUUCCCUCUAGUUCUGCUGUGUGUAGGGUUGCAGCAAGUGGGUUUAGGAUUUCCUUUCUGGGAACUGAGGUGAAGCUGCCUGGGCCGCAAGGCUGUGGACUGCUGUCCUCCUCUGGAUCUUGGUGUGCUUGUUGAGGUUAUUCCCACUGGUGGUUGUCAGUGUUCCUUCCCUUCCAGAGCUGCUGGUGUGAGGUCUUCCUGACCUGGUUCCGCCAAUUUGGUAAUAACUUGCUAAUCUGGCUAUUUUAAGAGGGACAAGUUUGGGAGCUGGAGCUCCCUAAUGAGCAGGUCGAUAGGGAAACCUGGGCAACGGUGGCCUGUGGCACAGGGACGCCAGCACCUGGCUGGAGAAGGAGCUUGGUGUAGUGACUUUUACCUCUUCAACCUUCAGGAACCUUCUUCACCUCAAAGAUUAUAAACUGUGGUGGUUGCAAGUUAAAUUAGUAAGGUCUGCUUUUGCUACAUGGUAGUCCUAGGGGAGGGAAUGCAAAUGUUGGCUGGCAAGCCACCUCCAUGGAGGUGGUCCCUCUGGGUCUUUUGUGGUGCAUGGGCAGAAUUUCGCUCCAUCCGAGGUGGAAGCGUUAUGCCGAACAGGUUGAUUAGCUGUGUAUUUCAAAUAAGCGGAGCUACAGCAAUGGAACGCUGUCAAUUCAGUGGGCUUUCUGUAGCUAAGGAUGUUUCUGCCCUCACUCCCAGCCCAACAAAAGUUAAUUUACAGUGUCAGAGCAUAGACCACUGAGUUGAGCAGGGAGGAAGUGUGCUGAAGAGUGGAACAAGCCCUCAUUAGAAUAUGUGUUUCUGACAUUUUGCUUGUUUGAAAGGCCAGUAUUCCCUUAGUGUGUGCGCAUGUCAGGUUAUAUCACAGUGACCACAGUCUUAUUUCAUUUUAAUGAAGGCUUAGUCUACCUGCAUGCAGAUUAAAUUCCUCUGUUAGAAUCUGUGUCUGCAGGGUAGGAUAUGUGCAAUGAGAAGAAGCCCCAAAGCGUUGCUCUGCAAUACAUUUCAAAUACUUAGGGGUAGACAGAAAGAUAGCAACCACCCUUUCCUUUCUCCUGCCCGUCAUGCUGUGUCUUGAGCUGGUACGUUAUUAGAUCACAGGCAUUUGAGAACACGGAGUCUGCUCUUGCUUUUUUGCUGCAGCCAAUUAGCUCAGUACCUGAUCAUCAGCUCAAAGAAUUGCCCCAUAAAUCGUUGUUCUGAAUCCCCUAAAACCUUUCUACUGCCAUGUGAAUAGGUUCAAAGAUUCUGUGAUGGCACUGGCAAGGAUAGCUUGUGUGCGAGUCUGUGAUUUGAAAGUGCUCUUCUAUGCUGUUUCUCUCCGAUUCAGAUAUCUAAGGCUUUUUUCACCGUCUGUCAUGACCUUUAUCCAUUUUAACUAGGAGUUAAUGCUGUGAGCAGACUUGUAUCUCAAGAAGGUCCUGAAGGAUAUCCCUGUAUUUUUUUCUAACCCAAUCAAGCAGCUACCUCAAAGCGGAGGAGAAGGCCAGAGACUCCUACAUGGAGGAAAGGAGGCGACAACAGAUGGAAAGGGAUCAGGCUUAUGUGACAAAGAAGCUGCAGCAGGAG